GCGGCAUGCUUUACACAUGCAAGUCGAACGGCAGCGCGGGGCAACCUGGCGGCGAGUGGCGAACGGGUGAGUAAUAUAUCGGAACGUACCCAAGAGUGGGGGAUAACGUAGCGAAAGUUACGCUAAUACCGCAUACGAUCUAUGGAUGAAAGUGGGGGAUCGCAAGACCUCAUGCUCCUGGAGCGGCCGAUAUCUGAUUAGCUAGUUGGUGAGGUAAAGGCUCACCAAGGCGACGAUCAGUAGCUGGUCUGAGAGGACGACCAGCCACACUGGGACUGAGACACGGCCCAGACUCCUACGGGAGGCAGCAGUGGGGAAUUUUGGACAAUGGGCGCAAGCCUGAUCCAGCAAUGCCGCGUGAGUGAAGAAGGCCUUCGGGUUGUAAAGCUCUUUUGUCAGGGAAGAA
Molecule: ribosomal RNA, 406 nt
Filed under: Massilia brevitalea
Lineage: Bacteria; Pseudomonadati; Pseudomonadota; Betaproteobacteria; Burkholderiales; Oxalobacteraceae
Description: bacterial SSU rRNA
Rfam family: Bacterial small subunit ribosomal RNA
Source: RNAcentral